GAAACUCUAACCUGUGGAUUGUCAGCCAUAACAGUGGUUUGAGUUUGAGCAUGCUCUUCGUCUGCACUAGCCUUUCCUCCUUUUUGGCCUUCAACAUUAUCAGUGUUAGUGGUAAUAUUUCCUUCAUUCGUUUCCUCUACAACCAUGUCUUUGACGCCCCAUCCUUCUCCAUGGGGAUCAUUCGUUCCUUCAGUUGUAUGUAAAUCAGCCCUAGGGGUUUCCUCAUCUUCA
RNAcentral lists this long non-coding RNA (231 nucleotides) under Lathyrus oleraceus (garden pea). RNAcentral's name for it is "Pisum sativum (pea) long non-coding RNA (PSAT_LNC007426)". The record is from RNAcentral. Lineage: Eukaryota; Viridiplantae; Streptophyta; Magnoliopsida; Fabales; Fabaceae.